Molecule: ribosomal RNA, 427 nt
Filed under: uncultured bacterium
Lineage: Bacteria
Description: partial 16S ribosomal RNA
Rfam family: Bacterial small subunit ribosomal RNA
Source: RNAcentral
GUGAGGAAUAUUGCACAAUGGGCGAAAGCCUGAUGCAGCAACGCCGCGUGAGUGAUGAAGGCCUUUGGGUCGUAAAACUCUGUCCUUGGGGAAGAAAAAAAUGACGGUACCCUUGGAGGAAGCCCCGGCUAACUACGUGCCAGCAGCCGCGGUAAUACGUAGGGGGCAAGCGUUAUCCGGAAUUAUUGGGCGUAAAGAGUGCGUAGGUGGUUUUGUAAGCGUAGGGUGAAAGGCAGUAGCUCAACUAUUGUUAGCCCUGCGAACUGUGAGACUUGAGUGCAGGAGAGGAAAGUGGAAUUCCUAGUGUAGCGGUGAAAUGCGUAGAUAUUAGGAGGAACACCAGUGGCGAAGGCGACUUUCUGGACUGUAACUGACACUGAGGCACGAAAGCGUGGGUAGCAAACAGGAUUAGAAACCCGGGUAGUCC